CCUACCUAGAUGAAUGAUCUACUUCCUGCGAGCAAUCAUUUUUUAAAUAAAUUUGAUGAAAAGGCCUGUUAGAGUCGAUCAUUUCAGAUAAUAUUUAUUUUCUUUUUUUUUUCCAUACAGACAUCAUCAUUUCACUAUUGAUUUGACAUAAGCAUGUGUAUUUAUGAUAAAAAUCCAUAAUAUCAUUACAAGGCCAAUACACAUAAAAGUCAGAUGAGUCAAUUUUAUUUUUAGAAACGGUUGAGGUCACAAAGUAAUUGACAGAAUAAAAUGUAACUUUCAGCAUAUUUUUUUCACACAAAAAUGUGUUUAUGCGUAGAAAUGUGAUCAGGCUGAGCACAUGGCCUUAUGGAUUACAUAAUUUUCGGUGCUUAACGUAAAAACAGUUUAAGGACAGGAUUCACAAACAUUCAAUUUAUGCUUAAAUGUACAUGCGAUAUAUUAUGCAUAUGAAUAUAGUUUAGGAUAGAAUCGCAUAUGGAAGUAACUAGAAUAAAUUUGGACUAUUUCCUUCGGAUGUUUACAUGUCAGACUGUGCUGUCAAAAGGCCUCCCAUGUGUUUACAUAUUUUGACAGGUCGAGUUGCUCUUGCAGGAACGACGAUAAGAUGAAUACCUGCAGGCUGCACCAUGGAAAUAUUUUAGAUCCAAUUUGAAACUGUCGUGGAACCUGUGUUCGGCCCGCACAUUUCCUAUUCAACAGGAAUGUAUGAUGGAAACCAACAGUACAGAAAGAUGAAGAUGUAAGUUGAUCCAAAUAAACAAUGGGACAAUGAAUGUUAUUAUUACCAGGAAGACUGCACUUUUUUACAG
Mercenaria mercenaria is the source of this 812-nucleotide long non-coding RNA. RefSeq lists it as uncharacterized. The transcript has 3 exons. The record is from RefSeq and is a predicted model, not a curated record. Lineage: Eukaryota; Metazoa; Mollusca; Bivalvia; Venerida; Veneridae.